Apteryx owenii (little spotted kiwi) is the source of this 173-nucleotide unclassified non-coding RNA. Lineage: Eukaryota; Metazoa; Chordata; Aves; Apterygiformes; Apterygidae. The record is from Ensembl.
UUGAGAUCCUCAGGGAAUUAAAUCUGCUGCUUGUCUACAGGAUAGAUAAUUGCAGGGCAAGCUUCCCACAUCACUGCCUCCUGCCAAUGCAGCUCAGCCUUGACCUGGCUACCAUUCAUGGCGGGACAGUGUAGAGUUCAUUCUCCGUAUCCCAUUCAUAGUCACUGGCCUUU